GAGGACGUAGGUCUGCAGUAGAGCGUGUGCCUAGCACGCACGAGGUCCUGGGUUCAAUCCCCAGCACCUCCA
This 72-nucleotide transfer RNA is filed under the name Camelus bactrianus (Bactrian camel). It matches the Rfam family "tRNA". Rfam says of the family: Transfer RNA (tRNA) molecules are approximately 80 nucleotides in length. Their secondary structure includes four short double-helical elements and three loops (D, anti-codon, and T loops). The record is from Rfam by way of RNAcentral. Lineage: Eukaryota; Metazoa; Chordata; Mammalia; Artiodactyla; Camelidae. RNAcentral also lists the same sequence under 1 other name.